CCUAGGGUGGCUGCAGUGGGGAAUAUUGGACAAUGGGCGAAAGCCUGAUCCAGCCAUGCCGCGUGUGUGAAGAAGGCCUUCGGGUUGUAAAGCACUUUCAGUGGGGAAGAAAGCCUUGGGGCUAAUACCCUCGAGGAAGGACAUCACCCACAGAAGAAGCACCGGCUAACUCCGUGCCAGCAGCCGCGGUAAUACGGAGGGUGCGAGCGUUAAUCGGAAUUACUGGGCGUAAAGCGCGCGUAGGCGGUCUGAUAAGCCGGUUGUGAAAGCCCCGGGCUCAACCUGGGAACGGCAUCCGGAACUGUCAGGCUAGAGUGCAGGAGAGGAAGGUAGAAUUCCCGGUGUAGCGGUGAAAUGCGUAGAGAUCGGGAGGAAUACCAGUGGUGAAGGCGGCCUUCUGGACUGACACUGACGCUGAGGUGCGAAAGCGUGGGUAGCAAACAGGAUUAGAUACCCGGGUAGUC
This 464-nucleotide ribosomal RNA is filed under the name Vreelandella stevensii. Its description in RNAcentral is "partial 16S ribosomal RNA". It matches the Rfam family "Bacterial small subunit ribosomal RNA", at positions 338 to 795 of the family's 1533-position model. Lineage: Bacteria; Pseudomonadati; Pseudomonadota; Gammaproteobacteria; Oceanospirillales; Halomonadaceae. The record is from RNAcentral.